UCAGAUUGACACACAAAAUUAAGCUUUACACUUACCAACUGUUUUUUUUUUUUCUUUUUAGAUCAUCCUUCAUCAAUAUGUUCUGGCAAUGCAGUCCUUCAACAGUCAAAGCAAUGAAGCUUAGUAGAUUUGGAGUGUUGGAGGUUGGAAUAAAUGCAAACUCACUAACAUUGCUGAGCUGUGAUGGUUGCUGGGUGAAUUUCCAGCUAUGGGAUGGCUUUUACUCCUUGGAUCAUAUCUAUGAGGAAACCUAGAAGGAAAAAGAAAACAAAGGGGGAAAGAAAAAUAGAUCUUAAAAAAUCUAUUAGAAAUGUAUUAGGCAUAUGAAGUGCAAAAACUAGGACGCAG
This 348-nucleotide long non-coding RNA is filed under the name Vulpes vulpes (red fox). RNAcentral describes it as "lncRNA (ENSVVUG00000017887.1)". The record is from RNAcentral. Lineage: Eukaryota; Metazoa; Chordata; Mammalia; Carnivora; Canidae.